This 253-nucleotide ribosomal RNA is filed under the name uncultured bacterium. RNAcentral describes it as "partial 16S ribosomal RNA". It matches the Rfam family "Bacterial small subunit ribosomal RNA", at positions 524 to 776 of the family's 1533-position model. The record is from RNAcentral.
GACGAACCGUGCGAACGUUGUUCGGAAUCACUGGGCUUAAAGGGCGCGUAGGCGGACCACCAAGUCCGGGGUGAAAUCUUUCGGCUUAACCGGAAAACAGCCUUGGAUACUGGUGGUCUCGAGUGAGGUAGGGGCCGUUGGAACUUCCGGUGGAGCGGUGAAAUGCGUUGAUAUCGGAAGGAACGCCGGUGGCGAAAGCGAACGGCUGGACCUCUUCUGACGCUGAGGCGCGAAAGCCAGGGGAGCGAACGGG